UACGUAGGUGGCAAGCGUUGUCCGGAUUUACUGGGUGUAAAGGGCGUGUAGCCGGGCUGACAAGUCAGAUGCGAAAUCCGGGGGCUCAACCCCCGAACUGCAUUUGAAACUGUUGGUCUUGAGUAUCGGAGAGGCAGGCGGAAUUCCUAGUGUAGCGGUGAAAUGCGUGGAUAUUAGGAGGAACACCAGUGGCGAAGGCGGCCUGCUGGACGACAACUGACGGUGAGGCGCGAAAGCGUGGGGAGCAAACAGG
This 253-nucleotide ribosomal RNA is filed under the name uncultured bacterium. RNAcentral describes it as "partial 16S ribosomal RNA". It matches the Rfam family "Bacterial small subunit ribosomal RNA", at positions 524 to 776 of the family's 1533-position model. The record is from RNAcentral.